RNAcentral lists this ribosomal RNA (433 nucleotides) under uncultured bacterium. Its description in RNAcentral is "partial 16S ribosomal RNA". It matches the Rfam family "Bacterial small subunit ribosomal RNA", at positions 29 to 507 of the family's 1533-position model. The record is from RNAcentral.
AACGAACGCUGGCGGCAUGCCUAACACAUGCAAGUCGAACGAGACCUUCGGGUCUAGUGGCGCACGGGUGCGUAACGCGUGGGAACCUGCCCUUAGGUUCGGAAUAACUCCCCGAAAGGGGUGCUAAUACCUGAUAAUGUCUUCCGACCAAAGGUUUAUCGCCUUUGGAUGGGCCCGCGUUGGAUUAGCUAGUUGUUAGGGUAAAAGCCUACCAAGGCGACGAUCCAUAGCUGGUCUGAGAGGAUGAUCAGCGACACUGGGACUGAGACACGGCCCAGAAUCCUACGGGAGGCAGCAGUGGGGGAUAUUGGACAAUGGGCGGAAGCCUGAUCGAGCAAUGCCGCGUGAGUGAUGAAGGCCUUAGGGUUGUAAAGCUCUUUUACCCGGGAUGAUAAUGACAGUACCGGGAGAAUAAGCUCCGGCUAACUCCGUG